UUUUGGUGCCCCCGUCUCUCAGGACUACUUCCAGGAUGUCAGAAGGACAAAGUACCGAUAACGUUGAGACUUUGUUUGUUUUUGAGCUUUUGGUGGAAAAUAUCCGGGUAGAGAAGGAGACCGAGAUUUCAGGCGAGCUGGCUCUCGCUGUGCGACUGUUGGAUUUCCCAACGCUGCUCAUUUAUCCGCACAAAAAAGAAAACGCACAGCAAGCAGACAAACCGGGAGAAUACUCCUUUAACAAAGGCAAGACGUGUUUCUUCCAGAUGAACCUGAACUCCCUGCAUACACGACUGUCCAGCUCCCCUCUCUACGCCAUGGUGCUGGAUGUGAAAGAGGAGAUUCCCAAGUUAGUUGGCUCCUCCUUAAUAUCACUGGUCAAAGUCAUGGGCAGAAUUUUGCAGGAUGUGGCACAGAAUGGAAUUUCUGUUCCCUCGUCUAGAGGAGAAAGGGGCCUUGUUAGUAUGUGCAGCCUCACAGGAGAGAAAAUUGGAUUCAUUUCCUUGAGUUAUAAACUGCUAAGUGUUGGUACGGGAGUGCAAGGACAGCAGCCUGUGGAGGAAUGCAUGGGGGAGAAAAACAUGGUAAUAAAACCAUCGUCUUUUGCUCUGCCACAACCAACAAGCUUUCAAAACAUUGCACUGGCAAGUGGAACAACCUGGAAAAGAGAGGAGAGUCUAAAUCCUGCUGCUGCUGCUGCUGCUUCUCCUGCUGCGGGUGAGAGUGUUGCCAUCCAAUGCCGGCCAAGAUCCCAAACAGCUCAAACAUUCAAAGAAAUUGGAAACAGUUUUGAUGGAGAGAUGAACAUAUUUUGCCCUCCACAACUUUAUUACAGUCACUCUGGGGAGGAUAAGGGUGACAGUGUUAUUGAUUAUAAACAAAUUAGUAUUAACCCGGACUUUAACACAUUUGAGGAGUUAUGUUCUGGGCAUGAGGUGUCUGGAAACAAAGCUGGGGUUUCUCCAAACAUGGACAAUAGAGAAAUAUGUGUAACCAAAACAGAGAAGCAUCAACAGACAAAUGAGGUCAGUCCAAAUGUAGAUGCUUUAAAACAGUUACCCUUACUCAACGCCCUUCUAAUGGAGCUGUCACAGUUAAACGUCCAAAAUCCACACCAACCAUUGUCUAUUCACCCCAACCUGGCAUGGAUUUACAGGCCGGCCUCUACAGAGCCACCAGGUGGACAUGAUAUCACACCACGCAAAACUAUAGACAAAACCAAAGUUACCAGUUCUCUUUUGAAAAAUGUACAUUCCUCAAGAACCUGCACUGCCACGGGAUUUAAACCCACAACCCCACAAAGGGAAAGCAAACAUAAAGCAGCAAUUAUUGAAAGUAAAACAUGUGAUAAACCCGUUAAGAGCAAGCUUGUCUACGGAACAACCAAAACAUUUAAUCUGAGGUUGAAGAAAAUUUCUACUCAUAAAGUAAAACAUGAUUGCACUGAAUUAUUACAGAAUGAAAAACAGAUAACAAAUAACCCAAAAGGAAAGGCAAGGCCUCUAGAUAAACCCGCUUAUGCUGGACUGAAGAAAUUACUAUUAAAUAAGAACUCAACCCUUGAUAAACAUGUUGAAACUGUGAUACAGAAAGUAAAAAUGAAAUCUCCAUUACAAGAAACAACAACAUAUGUGCGGGAAAACUCCAGUGAAAAAGAAGAAAAAGACUUGCCAGUAAUUUCAGGAAUACCCUCUCCUCCUCUCGGGGUGAGAAAUGUUGAAUGUAUUCACAUUCCAAGUGUGGACAGUGACACUGCUCUCCAAAGCACAGAGAGGACAGAAAAUCUGGGUGAACCUGCUCCAUCAUCACCUCCAUCUCUCAGGCUAAGAGAGAGUAUUAAAUCCCCAGGCAGCAGCAAAUUCAGCAGUCGAAAGUCUUCAUUUUCAGACUCGACUGUCGGAGCGAAUAAGGAACUUGAAUAUGCUGAUGACUUUAACAGUCCUGAGCCCAGUGAUGUCUACUCUCCUGACCCAGGGAGCACCUCAGAACUCUCAAGAGUACACACUCCAAAAUCUUCUGUGCGACCUGACUCCUGCAGCCCCGACUCUGUCUCUCAUCGCAAGAGAACUGUCCUGCCCGUUCCCCCCAAAGCCUCCGUCUCUCCACAGCGGUCCCUGAGGUCACACAUUAUUCGACCACAAACGCCGGCAUCUGUCGUAAGUUUCUCCUCCGGAGAUUGUGAUAGAGACAGUUUAGCUUCUUUACAGACCAUUGGCUCCAGAAGGGAGGUCACAGAGACUGGCAGAGCAGAAAGCAGCUUAGUUGCUGAGAGUUUAGGAUCUUUAAGAAGUGAGUCAUUUAAAAACAGAAGUCCAGGCCGAGGAUCAGAAUCCGUAUCCUCUGUGGAACCACAGGAUGCAGAGGAGGAAAAAGACGAGCUUGGAUCUCUGGACUUGGGAAGAGAGCAUCAGCACAUCUCAGAACUCCUGGUUAACAAACUGCCUGGUUACACCAUGUAAGAAAUGGUCACAUAUAUAACGCUAUGUAAUUAGUUGGGUUUUAGUUCUUUGUGUUUUUAAUAAAACAUUUUUAGCAGUAUCAAUGUAAUUUAUGGAAGUUCUAUUUUCAAAGUGAUGCAUUUAAGCAUAAACUGCAAAAGUCAUUCCUAAUAGUGGAAAAGCAAUUAAAUAACAUACAUUUUGCUACAUUACACACACACAACUGCUAAGUUAUUCAAUGUGUAUUUUGUGGUCAAAUGAAUCAAUUUAAAAAUAGUUAUUUAACCCAUAUCUUAACGGUGGAGCUAGAACGAAUCGAAACGAACUUAUGACGUUCGGUGCCUAUAGCGCAUGCGUCACUAUAUGCGGAAGUGCAGCGGAGCCUGGACGAGCCGCUUUGAACAGAAAUGUUCAAGCACGUUUUCUUGACAGGACCUCCAGAUCAGAUAUUGCAGUUAGCAUCUCACAUUUUGUCAAAGGUGUGGGCAAAACCACACUGGUCCAAAAAGCCUGUGAAGCUCUGCUGUCAUCAGGCGUGGGAGUUGAAGGGUUCUACACAGAGGAGGUCAGAGAGAGAGGCCGGAGAACGGGCUUUGAUGUCGUCACCAUGACAGGAGAGAGAGGCCACCUGUCCAGAAUCAGAAAUGUGGGGUUGGCAGAUGGAGGAAACAAGAAGGUUUUUGUCAUUGAUGAAAUAGGCAAAAUGGAACUCUUCAGUCAGUCCUUCAUCAGGGCAGUGAGACAGAUUUUGGACAGCUCCUCCUGCACCGUCCUGGGCACCAU
RNA transcript from Cynoglossus semilaevis (tongue sole), 3221 nucleotides. It is a transcript of the gene named nucleoside-triphosphatase, cancer-related, with no coding region annotated. The transcript has 4 exons. The record is from RefSeq and is a predicted model, not a curated record. Lineage: Eukaryota; Metazoa; Chordata; Actinopteri; Pleuronectiformes; Cynoglossidae.